AGUGAACGCUGGCGGUAGGCCUAACACAUGCAAGUCGAACGGCAGCACAGUAAGAGCUUGCUCUUACGGGUGGCGAGUGGCGGACGGGUGAGGAAUACAUCGGAAUCUACUUUUUCGUGGGGGAUAACGUAGGGAAACUUACGCUAAUACCGCAUACGACCUACGGGUGAAAGCAGGGGAUCUUCGGACCUUGCGCGAUUGAAUGAGCCGAUGUCGGAUUAGCUAGUUGGCGGGGUAAAGGCCCACCAAGGCGACGAUCCGUAGCUGGUCUGAGAGGAUGAUCAGCCACCCUGGAACUGAGACACGGUCCCGACUCCUCCGGGAGGCAGCAGUGGGGAAUAUUGGACAAUGGGCGCAAGCCUGAUCCAGCCAUACCGCGUUGGUGAAGAAGGCCUUCGGGUUGUAAAACCCUUUUGUUGGGAAAGAAAAGCAGCAGGUUAAUACCCCGCUGUUCUGACGGUACCCAAAGAAUAAGCACCGGCUAACUUCGUG
RNAcentral lists this ribosomal RNA (492 nucleotides) under uncultured bacterium. RNAcentral describes it as "partial 16S ribosomal RNA". It matches the Rfam family "Bacterial small subunit ribosomal RNA", at positions 29 to 507 of the family's 1533-position model. The record is from RNAcentral.